GUUUCUGUAGUGUAGUGGUUAUCACGUUCGCUUCACACGCGAAAGGUCCCUUGUUCGAAACCAGUCGGAAACA
This is a non-coding RNA of Salmo salar (Atlantic salmon), 73 nucleotides long. Lineage: Eukaryota; Metazoa; Chordata; Actinopteri; Salmoniformes; Salmonidae. The record is from Rfam.